CCUACGGGGUGCAGCAGUGGGGAAUAUUGGACAAUGGGCGAAAGCCUGAUCCAGCCAUGCCGCGUGUGUGAAGAAGGCCUUCGGGUUGUAAAGCACUUUCAGUGGGGAAGAAAGCCUUGGGGCGAAUACCCUCGAGGAAGGACAUCACCCACAGAAGAAGCACCGGCUAACUCCGUGCCAGCAGCCGCGGUAAUACGGAGGGUGCGAGCGUUAAUCGGAAUUACUGGGCGUAAAGCGCGCGUAGGCGGUCUGAUAAGCCGGUUGUGAAAGCCCCGGGCUCAACCUGGGAACGGCAUCCGGAACUGUCAGGCUAGAGUGCAGGAGAGGAAGGUAGAAUUCCCGGUGUAGCGGUGAAAUGCGUAGAUAUCGGGAGGAAUACCAGUGGCGAAGGCGGUCUACUGGACUGACACUGACGCUGAGGUGCGAAAGCGUGGGUAGCAAACAGGAUUAGAUACCCUGGUAGUC
RNAcentral lists this ribosomal RNA (465 nucleotides) under Vreelandella stevensii. Its description in RNAcentral is "partial 16S ribosomal RNA". It matches the Rfam family "Bacterial small subunit ribosomal RNA", at positions 338 to 795 of the family's 1533-position model. The record is from RNAcentral. Lineage: Bacteria; Pseudomonadati; Pseudomonadota; Gammaproteobacteria; Oceanospirillales; Halomonadaceae.